UAACACAUGCAAGUCGAACGGCAGCACAGAAGAGCUUGCUCUUUGGGUGGCGAGUGGCGGACGGGUGAGUAAUGUCUGGGAAACUGCCCGAUGGAGGGGGAUAACUACUGGAAACGGUAGCUAAUACCGCAUAACGUCGCAAGACCAAAGUGGGGGACCUUCGGGCCUCACACCAUCGGAUGUGCCCAGAUGGGAUUAGCUAGUAGGUGGGGUAAUGGCUCACCUAGGCGACGAUCCCUAGCUGGUCUGAGAGGAUGACCAGCCGCACUGGAACUGAGACACGGUCCAGACUCCUACGGGAGGCAGCAGUGGGGAAUAUUGGACAAUGGGCGAAAGCCUGAUCCAGCCAUG
This 351-nucleotide ribosomal RNA is filed under the name uncultured Pantoea sp. Its description in RNAcentral is "bacterial SSU rRNA". It matches the Rfam family "Bacterial small subunit ribosomal RNA", at positions 49 to 396 of the family's 1533-position model. Lineage: Bacteria; Pseudomonadati; Pseudomonadota; Gammaproteobacteria; Enterobacterales; Erwiniaceae. The record is from RNAcentral.